GCCAGACUCCUACGGGAGGCAGCAGUGAGGAAUAUUGGUCAAUGGACGCAAGUCUGAACCAGCCAAGUAGCGUGCAGGAUGACGGCCCUCCGGGUUGUAAACUGCUUUUAGUUGGGAAUAAAAGGGGGCUCGUGAGCCCCGUAUUGUAUGUACCAUCAGAAAAAGGACCGGCUAAUUCCGUGCCAGCAGCCGCGGUAAUACGGAAGGUCCGGGCGUUAUCCGGAUUUAUUGGGUUUAAAGGGUGCGUAGGCGGCGCUUCAGGUCAGCGGUGAAAUACCGGGGCUCAACCCCGGGGCUGCCGUUGAAACCGGAGCGCUAGAAUUCCGAUGCCGUCGGAGGAAUGUGUGGUGUAGCGGUGAAAUGCAUAGAUAUCACACAGAACACCGAUUGCGAAGGCAUCUGACGAAUCGGAGAUUGACGCUGAUGCACGAAAGCGUGGGUAUCGAACAGGAUUAGAUACCCCAGUACA
RNAcentral lists this ribosomal RNA (469 nucleotides) under uncultured bacterium. RNAcentral describes it as "bacterial SSU rRNA". It matches the Rfam family "Bacterial small subunit ribosomal RNA", at positions 330 to 794 of the family's 1533-position model. The record is from RNAcentral.